Brienomyrus brachyistius is the source of this 1053-nucleotide long non-coding RNA. RefSeq lists it as uncharacterized. The transcript is spliced from 3 exons. NCBI's taxonomy places the organism in Eukaryota, Metazoa, Chordata, Actinopteri, Osteoglossiformes, Mormyridae. The record is from RefSeq and is a predicted model, not a curated record.
GAAACAGGAGAUAUCUCUGUGCGAAAGGGACAAGGCCGAAGACCUGUAUUGGAUGCCCGUGGUCUUCGGGCCCUCAGACGACUCUGCAUCACUCAUCGGCAUGAUUGUGUCAAUGACAUUACUAAAUGGGCCCAGGAAUACUUCCAGAAAGCACAGUCGGUAAACACAAUCCGCCGUGCCAUCUGCAGAUGCCAGCUAAAGCUCUAUCAUGCAAAAAGGAAGCCAUAUCUGAACAUGGUCCAGAAGCGCCGUCGUGUCCUGUGGGCCAGGACUCAUUUGAAAUGGACUGUUUCAAAGUGGGAAAGUGUUCUAUGGUCAGACGAGUCCAAAUGUGACAUUCUUGUUGGUAAUCAAGGGCGCCCUGUCCUCCGGGCUAAAGAGGAGGGAGACCUUCCAGCGUGUUAUCAGCGUUCAGUUCAAAAGCCAGCAUCUCUGAUGGUAUGGGGGUGCAUAAGUGCAUACGGUAUGGGCAGCUUGCAUGUUUUGGAAGGAGCUAUGAAUGUUGAAAGGUAUAUAAAGGUUUUAGAGCAACACAUGCUCCCCUCCAGAGGACGUCUGUUUCAGGGAAGGCCUUGUGUAUUUCAGCAGGACAAUGCAAAACCACAUACUGCAGAUACUACAACAGCAUGGCUUCGUGGGAGAAGAGUCCGGCUGCUGAAUUGGCCUGUCUGCAGUCCAGAUCUUUCACCUAUAGAGAACAUACAGUAAUUACCUGUGACACCCAUGGUGCACUGUGAGCAGGUAUACAGGCCAACAGAGCAUGCAGAUAAUUAUCUGUAACACCCAUUGUACACUGUGAGCAGGUAUACAGGCCCACAGAGCAUGCAGAUAAUUAUCUGUGACACCCAUGGUGCACUGUGAGCAGGUAUACAGGCCAACAGAGCAUGCAGAUAAUUACCUGUGACACCCAUGGUGCACUGUGAGCAGGUAUACAGGCCAACAGAGCAUGCAGAUAAUUAUCUGUGACACCCAUUGUACACUGUGAGCAGGUAUACAGGCCCACAGAGCAUGCAGAUAAUUAUCUGUGACACCCCUUGUACACUGUGAGCAGGU